GACGAACGCUGGCGGCGUGCUUAACACAUGCAAGUCGAGCGAUGAAGCACCUUCGGGUGUGAAUUAGCGGCGAACGGGUGAGGAACACGUGAAGAAUCUGCCUUCAACUCUGGGAUAACUCCGGGAAACCGGGGCUAAUACCGGAUACGAGCCUUGAUCGCAUGAUCGGGGCUGGAAAGUUUUUCGGUUGAAGAUGACUUCGCGGCCUAUCAGCUUGUUGGUGAGGUAAUGGCUCACCAAGGCGACGACGGGUAGCCGGCCUGAGAGGGCGACCGGCCACACUGGGACUGAGACACGGCCCAGACUCCUACGGGAGGCAGCAGUGGGGAAUUUUGGACAAUGGGCGCAAGCCUGAUCCAGCAAUGCCGCGUGUGUGAAGAAGGCCUUCGGGUUGUAAAGCACUUUUGUUCGGGAAGAAAAGGUUCGUGCUAAUACCAUGGGCCGAUGACGGUACCGGAAGAAUAAGCACCGGCUAAC
This 477-nucleotide ribosomal RNA is filed under the name uncultured bacterium. RNAcentral describes it as "partial 16S ribosomal RNA". It matches the Rfam family "Bacterial small subunit ribosomal RNA", at positions 28 to 501 of the family's 1533-position model. The record is from RNAcentral.